This 76-nucleotide transfer RNA is filed under the name compost metagenome. RNAcentral's name for it is "tRNA-Asn". It matches the Rfam family "tRNA". From Rfam's summary of the family: Transfer RNA (tRNA) molecules are approximately 80 nucleotides in length. Their secondary structure includes four short double-helical elements and three loops (D, anti-codon, and T loops). Further hydrogen bonds mediate the characteristic L-shaped molecular structure. tRNAs have two regions of fundamental functional importance: the anti-codon, which is responsible for specific mRNA codon recognition, and the 3' end, to which the tRNAs corresponding amino acid is attached (by aminoacyl-tRNA synthetases). tRNAs cope with the degeneracy of the genetic code in two manners: having more than one tRNA (with a specific anti-codon) for a particular amino acid; and 'wobble' base-pairing, i.e. permitting non-standard base-pairing at the 3rd anti-codon position. The record is from RNAcentral.
GCUUGUGUAGCUCAGUAGGCAGAGCGGCGGACUGUUAAUCCGCGUGUCGAUGGUUCGAGCCCAUCCACAAGCGCCA